GGCGUGGUGGCCGAGUGGUUGAAGGCAGCGGUCUUGAAAACCGCCGAACGGGAAACCGUUCCGUGAGUUCGAAUCUCACCCACGCCG
RNAcentral lists this transfer RNA (87 nucleotides) under Gemmatimonadales bacterium. RNAcentral's name for it is "tRNA-Ser". It matches the Rfam family "tRNA". From Rfam's summary of the family: Transfer RNA (tRNA) molecules are approximately 80 nucleotides in length. Lineage: Bacteria; Pseudomonadati; Gemmatimonadota; Gemmatimonadia; Gemmatimonadales. The record is from RNAcentral.